CCUACGGGAGGCUGCAGUGGGGAAUCUUGCACAAUGGGCGAAAGCCUGAUGCAGCGACGCCGCGUGCGGGAUGAAGGCCUUCGGGUUGUAAACCGCUUUCAGCAGGGACGAGGCGAAAGUGACGGUACCUGCAGAAGAAGCCCCGGCUAACUACGUGCCAGCAGCCGCGGUAAUACGUAGGGGGCAAGCGUUAUCCGGAUUCAUUGGGCGUAAAGCGCGCGUAGGCUGCCCAGUAGGUCGAGAGUUAAAUCCGGGGGCUCAACCCCCGUCCGCUCCCGAUACCGCUGGGAUUCGAGUCUGGUAGGGGAAGGUGGAAUUCCCAGGGUAGCGGUGGAAUGCGCAGAUAUUGGGAAGAACACCGGUGGCGAAGGCGGCCUUCUGGGCCAUGACUGACGCUGAGGCGCGAAAGCUAGGGGAGCGAACAGGAUUAGAUACCCCUGUAGUC
This 445-nucleotide ribosomal RNA is filed under the name uncultured Coriobacteriaceae bacterium. RNAcentral's name for it is "bacterial SSU rRNA". It matches the Rfam family "Bacterial small subunit ribosomal RNA", at positions 338 to 795 of the family's 1533-position model. Lineage: Bacteria; Bacillati; Actinomycetota; Coriobacteriia; Coriobacteriales; Coriobacteriaceae. The record is from RNAcentral.